AUUGGUAGGUGUGGUUAAUGAUUGUGGCCCAUCCUACAUACUAGUGAAGAUGUCUGGUGUAAGGAGACUUAUUCCUGUUAACAAAUUGACUCUGGCUGGGACUUAAAAUAUUAAAAGACCUUCUUUCUUGAUGUCUUUGGGGGACGGGCCGUCUUUCAUUAUCAUUGGGGACUUGUACACAAUCCUGGCCUGUCCGAGGCUUACCUCAUCCAUUACAACUUGAGAUGGACUUUGAUGUACACUAAUGAAGUCUUACUCCUUCUCAAGGCGAUGGAUCAUCUUUUACCAAGAUAGGACAGCUUAUAUUCAUUAUAUCUUUUCAAUUGUACAACAUUACUGUAUAUACUGAGAUAUUUAGCUGUUGUUUAAUUACUGUGUGGUGUGUAAACUGUAUUACCUGUAUUUUAGUGUAGUAUCAAGUUUAUUAUAACAAUAACAGUGACUAUUUAGCUAACUAUUAGGUGUGAUGAUGGCAGUAGUGUUGUUAUUACUUAAAAGAAUGUAUUAUUAAUAAAUUAA
Molecule: long non-coding RNA, 519 nt
Organism: Amphimedon queenslandica
Lineage: Eukaryota; Metazoa; Porifera; Demospongiae; Haplosclerida; Niphatidae
Exons: 2
Source: RefSeq, a predicted model, not a curated record